UCUCUCUGAGUAGCUUCCCACCAUGUGCACACUCACUGGUCGCGCUUCUUAACCUUUGAGAUAAGGAAAUUUAUAAAAAAAAGGAGUGAUGUUCCUCUAAGCUCAUCUCACGGAUCUUGCCCCUCACUCUCUCUCCUCUCUCUCUCUCUCUCUUCUCUCACACAUUAUUGUGUAUAUAUUGUUCCUGUAGAAACACAAGGAAGUCCUCAGAAAAUGGCUUCUUGGAAGAAAACCAUCACCACCCCAUUUAAGAAAGCCUGCACUUUCUUCAACCAACAACCAAAAGAGAAGAAGUCCCAAGAAGGGCAGGAGAAGAGCGUGGUGGAUCUGCAGGGUGAGGUGAUGGCGUGCGCGUACGAGGAUGUUCAAGUGAUGUGGUCGAUCUUGGACAAGUCCAAGGCUACACAUUGCAACAUGACUUCUUGAUUAGCCUCUCUCUCCCUCUCUCCAAUGCCCCAACCCACCAAAUCGCCCUUAUGUGAAUUUUGUGUAUGUAGUAGUGUUUUCGAGUUAAUCUUGCAAAUCCACAUGUACAUGCUGUGCUUUGUAUUCGCCUUGUGGGUGUGUUCCUGAAAGGGUGGCAAGAUGAACCCAAAUGAAGGAGAAACAAGGACAAAAAACUGAAAAACAGAGAGAGGGAGGGAGGGAGGGAGGGAGGGAGAUGCGCCUCCUUCUAGGCUUCUAGUGCCUGAUUUCGCUGAUGAUUUUUCUUUUCUUCUGGCUGGUUUUGUUGUUGUUGGAGUCAAGUUAGGUGAUUAGGGAAAGAAUCCCCAUGAUUAGUGUGAAGAUCAUGGCGAGAUUUUAAUGGAGAAAUUUAUGUCUUUGAUGCA
Eucalyptus grandis is the source of this 830-nucleotide RNA transcript. RefSeq lists it as uncharacterized. The record is from RefSeq and is a predicted model, not a curated record. The transcript has 2 exons. Lineage: Eukaryota; Viridiplantae; Streptophyta; Magnoliopsida; Myrtales; Myrtaceae.